This 480-nucleotide ribosomal RNA is filed under the name uncultured bacterium. RNAcentral describes it as "partial 16S ribosomal RNA". It matches the Rfam family "Bacterial small subunit ribosomal RNA", at positions 28 to 523 of the family's 1533-position model. The record is from RNAcentral.
GACGAACGCUGGCGGCGUGCUUAACACAUGCAAGUCGAGCGAUGAAACACCUUCGGGUGCGGAUUAGCGGCGAACGGGUGAGGAACACGUGAGGAAUCUGCCUUCCACUCUGGGAUAACUCCGGGAAACCGGGGCUAAUACCGGAUACUUUCAACUGGCGGCAUCGCCGGUUGAAGAAAGUUUUUCGGUGGAAGAUGACCUCGCGGCCUAUCAGCUUGUUGGUGAGGUAAAGGCUCACCAAGGCGACGACGGGUAGCCGGCCUGAGAGGGCGACCGGCCACACUGGGACUGAGACACGGCCCAGACUCCUACGGGAGGCAGCAGUGGGGAAUAUUGGGCAAUGGAGGAAACUCUGACCCAGCGACGCCGCGUGAGGGAUGAAGGCCUUCGGGUUGUAAACCUCUUUCAGCAGGGAAUAAGCGAAAGUGAAGGUACCUGCAGAAGAAGCACCGGCUAAUUCCGUGCCAGCAGCCGCAGUAA